RNAcentral lists this ribosomal RNA (449 nucleotides) under uncultured bacterium. Its description in RNAcentral is "partial 16S ribosomal RNA". It matches the Rfam family "Bacterial small subunit ribosomal RNA", at positions 29 to 523 of the family's 1533-position model. The record is from RNAcentral.
AACGAACGCUGGCGGCAGGCCUAACACAUGCAAGUCGAGCGAGGUAGCAAUACCUAGCGGCGGACGGGUGAGUAACGCGUGGGAACGUGCCCUUUGCUACGGAAUAGCCCUGGGAAACUGGGAGUAAUACCGUAUAAGCCCGAGAGGGGAAAGAUUUAUCGGCGAAGGAUCGGCCCGCGUUGGAUUAGGUAGUUGGUGGGGUAAUGGCCUACCAAGCCGACGAUCCAUAGCUGGUUUGAGAGGAUGAUCAGCCACACUGGGACUGAGACACGGCCCAGACUCCUACGGGAGGCAGCAGUGGGGAAUCUUAGACAAUGGGGGAAACCCUGAUCUAGCCAUGCCGCGUGAUCGAUGAAGGCCUUAGGGUUGUAAAGAUCUUUCAGUGGGGAAGAUAAUGACGGUACCCACAGAAGAAGCCCCGGCUAACUCCGUGCCAGCAGCCGCCGUAA